This is a long non-coding RNA of Oxyura jamaicensis (ruddy duck), 1022 nucleotides long. RefSeq lists it as uncharacterized. Lineage: Eukaryota; Metazoa; Chordata; Aves; Anseriformes; Anatidae. The record is from RefSeq and is a predicted model, not a curated record. The transcript is spliced from 3 exons.
UGCUAUGGUUUUGAGGGUCUUUUUUUCUAGUUACAUUUCAUGCAAAAAUACAAUAAAAGCCUGAAUUUUUAUUUUUUCUUCAGAGACUUUUCAGUUUGUAAUAAGUCUUCAGCCUCAUCCUAGCAAGAAGCAGGCCCAACUAACAGCUAGGGCAGAAAACCCGAGGAGCACACUUUGUAAGCACCUACCCGUUGCAGGGCCAGGCAUGAAGUAGACUGAAAAUGAGUAGAAAGCCGGGGUCAAAGGAGGAAGAAGUACAAACCCCCAAGGAAAAACAUUUCUUGGUUAAUGAAGUGUGAAUCCAAACGUGAGGGAGGGGAUGAGGACCAGCAAGCUACCAGGCAGUGUUCAUUAAACCUGUGUGUGGUGUGAUCAGAAAUCUGGAGCAGACCUCAUCCCUGCUGCCUUAAGGGAAAAAAUAAUCCAUUUUUAGAGUUCACCUUGCAAUGGUCAUGAGCCUCGUUAAGCUCAGUGCUGCUGCAGCUCCCCUAUGGUGGUAUUUCUGUCAAGAUCCCUGUGUAACUGUAUUAGACCUGCUCUGCUACUGCUGGUAAAGCCAGGCCUGUGAAUAAAUGAGAACAGAACUGGACAAGUGACAUGAGACUGGUUUUCAGUUUGUGAACCUGGAUGGAUAUUUUCCCAAUAUUUUAUGUUCACGUUCAUCUUCUACCCUGAUUUUUCUCCUCACUGCUAGGUGGCCGUGGCCACGGCUCGCUCUGUUGUGCCUUCUCAGUUGUGUGUGGUCUCUUUGGUGCGUAGCCCUCACGGUCUCCCAUAUUUGCCCAGAAGCAGCUGGUAGGCAGAGCACAUCAACACACACUGGGCCACUGUGAGCUGUAUCUUUGUUUCUUGCCUGCUUUUCUGUGCAUCGUGGGAGGACUUCUGAUUUGUGUGUUGUGUAUUUCCAGGCAUGCUACAUGUUCACAGGCACACAUAUUCAGAUGAAAGACAGUCGUGUUUAAUGCAGUUUCUGCAUCUCCAUCCAAAAUCCAGCAAAAAUCAACAAAUCUCAAGAGUAAAUG